Molecule: long non-coding RNA, 734 nt
Organism: Phyllostomus hastatus (greater spear-nosed bat)
Lineage: Eukaryota; Metazoa; Chordata; Mammalia; Chiroptera; Phyllostomidae
Exons: 4
Source: RefSeq, a predicted model, not a curated record
CUAAAACCUGGAAACUGAACGCCAGGAAAAUACACACAGACUCAGCGCAGUUGAAGUACCUUCCUUGCAGUCCAGGGCCUAAGCUACAGAGCUGAUCCUGCUUCUGGGAUGGUGCCCAGGGGACAUCCUGCCUUCUGCAGAAGAUGAGAGCCUGCCCUGCCCCCAGGAUGCCGGGAGGUCUUGCUCCAGCCCCCCACCAGCCCCCGCGUCCACUUUAGUACCCAGAAGUAAUGGAGCUGUCUUCUCCUCUCGCCAGACUGCAGUCCUCUCUCACCACAGGGGAGCACAACUGGGCAACCAAGGGUCUGACCUGAGCUCCAGCUUUGGGGGGGAUGGGGAAGACUUGCAGCCAGCUAGUGCCGCUCAUGCUGCACAGUUCCUGGCACAUGGUCGGUGCUCAGUAAACAUGCAUUGAGCGAAUGGAUUCCCCAGCCAGCUGGAUGUCUCACAGGGCUCAGGAGCCAGAGUGGAGCAGGAGGAAGUCGCCUCACCCUUGUCUCAGAGAGACCCUGGGGAGCUAGACACUCCCCUGUCCCCACCUCCCUCUGCCUUCAGCUGCAGCGUCUUGGCAUCAGACCUGCUGCUCUCGACUUUGCAGCCUACAGGAACCCUCUCAGAGCCCCUCACCCCACCUCCAGCCUCUGCCCAGAAACUCUUGAAAGCAUUGUCUCCCCUCACUGCUUCUGUCGCCACCUACUUCCCCUAACCCUCUGAGAUCCUGUCCCAACACCCCA